RNAcentral lists this ribosomal RNA (253 nucleotides) under uncultured bacterium. Its description in RNAcentral is "partial 16S ribosomal RNA". It matches the Rfam family "Bacterial small subunit ribosomal RNA", at positions 524 to 776 of the family's 1533-position model. The record is from RNAcentral.
UACGAAGGGGGCUAGCGUUGUUCGGAUUUACUGGGCGUAAAGCGCACGUAGGCGGAUUGUUAAGUUAGAGGUGAAAUCCCAGGGCUCAACCCUGGAACUGCCUUUAAUACUGGCAAUCUAGAGUCCGGAAGAGGUGAGUGGAACUCCUAGUGUAGAGGUGGAAUUCGUAGAUAUUGGGAAGAACACCGGUGGCGAAGGCGGCUCACUGGCCCGUAACUGACGCUCAGGCGCGAUAGCGUGGGGAUCAAACAGG